This 232-nucleotide long non-coding RNA is filed under the name Carica papaya (papaya). RNAcentral's name for it is "long non-coding RNA (CPAP_LNC003802)". The record is from RNAcentral. Lineage: Eukaryota; Viridiplantae; Streptophyta; Magnoliopsida; Brassicales; Caricaceae.
CCUAGGGUUAAGAAAUGGAAAGAACAAAAAAAGGGUUCGGGCUCACUUGAGUGUUUUUUGAUUUCGAGCGUGGUGGCUCAGCCGAGCUCUACUCUCCAUUUCUAACCUUCCCUCAGGUUUUCCUGAAUCAAGAAGGAUUUUGGGUAAUUUAGAAUGAAAAAACGGGACGAACGGGAGAAAAAUAACACUUACUAGCGGCGAUUUGGGUCUCCAGUGCAGCGGCGAUGGGGAC